UUUAGUUAGAGUUUGAUCCUAGCUCAGGAUGAACGCUGGCGGCGUGGAUAAGGCAUGCAAGUCGAACGGACUAGUCCCAUGAAUGUAUAAGAAACUGAAAGUAGCAAUACGAUUGGAAUCAAGUGCCGGAUUGGGGUUUCUAGUUAGUGGCGAACGAGGUAGUAAUACGCAGGAACUUCCCCCAAAGUCGUGAAUAAUCCGGAGAAAUCCGGACUAAUACACGAUGGUCUCGCAAGAGUAAAGAAUUUCGCUUUGGGAAAGGCCUGUGCGGUAUCAGCUAGUUGGUAGUGUAAUGGACUACCAAGGCUAUGACGCCUAGGGGAGCUGAGAGGCUGACCCCCACCGAUGGUACUGAGACACGGACCAUACACCUACGGGUGGCUGCAGUCGAGAAUCUUCCACAAUGGACGAAAGUCUGAUGGAGCGACGCCGCGUGAUUGAU
Molecule: ribosomal RNA, 442 nt
Filed under: Minisyncoccota bacterium
Lineage: Bacteria; Bacillati; Minisyncoccota
Description: bacterial SSU rRNA
Rfam family: Bacterial small subunit ribosomal RNA
Source: RNAcentral